UUUCCGUAGGUGAACUUGCGGAAGGAUCAUUACAGAGUUCAUGCCCACAUGGGUAGAUCUCCCACCCUUGAAUAUUAUACUUGUGUUGCUUUGGCGAGGUUAGAUGGAUAAAACCUCUACCCGCCAGAAGACUUUAAUUCUGAGUUAUUGUGUCGUCUGAUUACUAUAUAAUAGUUAAAACUUUCAACAACGGAUCUCUUGGUUCUG
RNAcentral lists this unclassified non-coding RNA (207 nucleotides) under plant metagenome. RNAcentral describes it as "partial contains small subunit ribosomal RNA, internal transcribed spacer 1, and 5.8S ribosomal RNA". The record is from RNAcentral.